CCUCAACGAACGGGCAGACACCUUUACGCGGUGUUGGGGAUUAGUACUUGCAGUUGAUUUUACCACAACUGUUUGAGGAAGCUAAGAUCUGCC
Molecule: non-coding RNA, 93 nt
Filed under: Talaromyces marneffei ATCC 18224
Lineage: Eukaryota; Fungi; Ascomycota; Eurotiomycetes; Eurotiales; Trichocomaceae
Source: RNAcentral